ACAAAAUGUCAGCGAGGCGCCUGGAGGGGGAUCUACCAUCUCGGACUCCCGACCCGCCGCCGGCUCCGGCCGCGUUUCCCGGGUAAAGGGUUUUUCCCAGUUGUGUUUAACAAGAAAGAUUCUGGAACUUUGUCAUCUCCAUGGCUGCUGGUUCAAAAUCUGACAGUAUGAGCAGCAUUGAUCUCACUGUGCCUGGGUCUCACCUUGCCCUUGAUUUUCUCCCUAAGUUCUCAGAAGAGCUCAAGAAGUCUGUCAUGUGUUUUCUUCUCAUUGUUUUUCAACUUUCAAAGCAAAUUUAUCUAGAAUCACACAUUUGGUCCUUUGUGAACUUAUUUCCUAACUAAUAAACUUCACCUUUUUCUGUAUUCCCUUUUCUUUAAUAGGUUAUUGCAGUAGUGAAUUAGUUUCCUAAUAAAAAAGACUGUGCAAUGA
This 432-nucleotide long non-coding RNA is filed under the name Homo sapiens (human). RNAcentral describes it as "non-protein coding lnc-WDR41-3:1". The record is from RNAcentral. Lineage: Eukaryota; Metazoa; Chordata; Mammalia; Primates; Hominidae.